UAACUGCGGCCCUACACUCUUGACUUUACUGCGGUCCCCUUCCACGUGGCUUCCGGUUGGCAGUGCUUUCGGCCGGUCGCUGUUUACGGUUUCCUUUCCGCAUCUCGUCUUGGCGACGUCGGCCAGGGGACCGCAGCGAUGGCGCUCAAACGUCGAACGGGAUCCAAAAACCCUCCGAUUUUCAGCCACGAGUUCGUCAUCCAAAACCAUGCCGACAUUGUGUCCUGCGUGGCCAUGCUUUUUGUCAUGGGACUCCUGUUCCAAGUCACCGCACCAUAUGCUUCGGUUUUCAUCGCCGUGCAUCACAACACAACCGACGGCAUGGAAACGCAAGGGAUCGUGAACUACACGUACGGUGCCAAGGACAUAUGCCUGACCUUCUUCUACUUCCUCAUUGCCAUCGUCAUGCAUGCCAUCAUCCAGGAGUACCUGCUCGACUACAUCAAGAAGCACACCAAACUGAACCGCAAGAUGCACCUGUCCAAGAUGAAGCACAGCAAAUUCAACGAGUCGGGUCAGCUGCUGAUCUUCUGCCUUGCCUCUUUCCUCUGGGGUGCCGAGAUUAUCCGCAAGGAAGGGUACCUGCCCAGCAUCAACAAGCUAUGGGAGGGCUACCCCCACAACGAGAUGUCGUUCAUGUUCAAGUUCUACUUCAUCAUCCAGCUGGCUUACUGGCUGCACUGCUACCCUGAGCUGUACUUCCAGAAGACCAAGAAGGAUGAGAUGUCUGCACGCAUUACCACAGCCACCCUUCCGCUCAUCUUCUUCCUCGUGUCCUACGUUCUCAACUUCUCGAGGAUAGCGCUGUGCCUUUCGGUGAUGCACUACCUGGUGGAGACGGUGUUCCAUGCCUCCCGGCUGCUGCUCUUUGCCGAGCGCACUAAGGCCGCUGACUACGGGUACGCAGUGUGGAAUGUGCUGUUCGUGCUGGUGCGGCUGGCGUCCAUCACGCUGUCUGUGCUCACUUUCUGGUACGGCCUGGCCCAGCAAGAGAAUGCUGCCCUGCCCAUUGGCCUGGUUACGGGCAACUUCAACACCAAGCUCAUCAGGGUGAACUGCACGGUGGCCGUGUGCCUUCUUCAGGCGUGGAUGAUGUGGAACUUUGUGAACUUCCACCUGCAACUGCGGAGGGAACGUGCCGAGGCCCAGCAGAGCUCGGGCCCAGCUGCCAAGAAGAAGGCCGUCGGCCGCAAGGACCGCAAGGCUGCCAAGAAGGAUGAAUAACAAUUGUCCAAAUUGUCUAGAAUUCUCGAAACGCAGUUGAUGUUACGGAGCCACCAAGCGAGCUGCGGACGAGGACGUUAACGAGCUUCCCGAGGUGGACCAGAACGCUAAGAAGGAGCUUCGUUCUCGCCACCUUGCCAGUCCGAAAGCCAAGAGGAGCUAAUCUCUGCCCCCUUAAUUAAUGUUUCUUUUUUUUUUCUCUCUCUCUGUCCAUUACUCUCAAGCUCUUUUAUCUUUUGUUCUUUCUUUUCAUCCUGCCUUCUCACAUCGGAACAUCUCUUCAAUUGGACCUUUAGAACUGACUGCAAAAGCUGUCCCUUUCAGCUGUUCAGCACUUUCAAUGUACCGUGAAGAAUUGCUGUUUGUGCAUUCAAUACAUUUCAAAAGCAAGGGACAUGUGUUCUGCCUCUGUGCGGGAAAUUCCCAGUGAACUGUACCACUGUGUGAUCGUGAAACCCAAAUCGUAGCUAGAAAGUGCUCAGGCUUUCUGGCUUGUAGCAUCCACAUUAUAAAUCUGGGUUUGAAAUUAUAUGAAUGCCUCUUAAUUGCAGCAAAACUGUACUGUCAAAUUUAAAAAGGCUGGACAACGGUGGCAGGAGCUGCACUAGUAAUUUUUUCUUUUUCUUUAAAGUAACUCUUCCCAAUGUCUGGUUAGAUAGAAGCCAGCGAAUAUGGAAGUUGGGGCAUGUUCGUAAGCUGCAAAGGAAAUGAAGCCACAAACAGAGCAGACGAAGCUCUUGCAAAUGAAUCACCCGCAUAUGUGUUCUGCGUGAGCAUAGGCAAGGCAGGUGUUUUUAGAGUGGUGAUCAGUGAGGCUGGUUUUGAGCUUGACUGUUCUUGACACAUUCUUACUUUAGUGUCUGAUGCUUGCCCUGGUGUAAUGCCUGCUCAUCUGCUUGCAAUGUGGGAUCAUUAUAUGUAAUUGGUGGUCAACAUUGAAAGGGUAUAUGGUCUGAUGUAGUACAGCACCUCUGGAAGCCAUCAAGCCAAGCACAUUUGUGAGGAAUAUAAUGAGGGAGUAUCUUGAACAAGGGUUACUGCCUUCGACCACUUUGCAUUGCAGUGCCUUACAAAAUUUGGCAAAAAAAUACUGCGUACAAGCAAGACAUUGCACUACUUGCAUCUUAGCACGAAAAUCCGCCGUGACAAACAACUGCCGCACACAUCGCAAAGUGAACAAAGGCAGACAAAAGGAAAGUGGUUGCACCAAAGUACCUCGUAUUUCUACCAUUAUUGUCUUUAAAUAAGCUCUUGAACAACUGAACUGGAAGAGUAUUUCUUGUUGAACUGGAAGAGGUGACAGCGAAGAAGCACAUGCUUAAGGCUUUUGCGGUGCUUUCAUGUGUUGCCUUCUGCUUUGCACUUUUGUUGUUUGGUGUGCUCAGUACUGGCUUUGAGUGUGUUUGAUGCUUCUGCACUGUGCCUCCCUGGUGAAUGACUCGGCGAAGAAGACGUACAGUUCCUUAUUCACUCGAACACACUUCCAGCAGAUGUGCCUUUCAGCUCACAUGCAGUGGUCACCCUUGAACUGUGCUUGAACAAGGAAGGUUCCAUGGUAUCUGCUAAUUGAAGGGACUGCUCGUUUACUUCUGUCUGUUCAGCUUUUCUGUUCUUUCUUUUUUAGUUCCUUCCUUUCUUCUUUUUUUUUUCAUUUUGAGAGGACCAUUUGCUGCAUUGACUGAAGUGCUUAGUUCACUAAUUUCUUGUGCAAUAUAUUACCACCACCAACAGGACCACUGUGUCAUUUCUGUUAAAUACCGUUUACAAUGUUCUUAUUUUCUUUCUUUCUAUUGACUGUAUUCUUUCUCUCCUUCCUUUCCCACUCCAUUUUUUUCUCCUCUUGCAAAGCCUGGUGAUCUACUGUACUCCCUUUCAUAUGUAGCAGGCAAUGUUGUGAAUGCUAAAGAGACUUAUAUGCUUGGUCUACCUAAAAGUAGUGCGCCCAAUAUGUAGGUGUAUGUUGUGUCAUCCAAUGUCGUAUCAAGACUGACGUUUGUGUAAAGAAAUAGGCCUAAGUAUUAUGUGGAAGGCUUUCACAAAUGUGAACGUAUUUACCACCAGAUGAGUGGAGCGAUACGUUUAUGUGACGAGCGGCCACAGCGCACUGAUGACAUGAACGCCCAAAACAUAGUAUGUUGCAUUCUGGAAGCACAAACAUGCACAAAUAAUAUGCGAUUUGAUGUAACCUCAUGUCGACAAAUUCUAAUAUGAAGUAAUUUUUCCAUAGGAAGGGUCAGCAGACCAAUAACAUCUGCACUAUAAAACUGUGCAGAGCGAGAUUUCAUUGACAUGCACUGCAUGCGUAGCUUCAGCAGCAUUGCCUGCUAAGUAUGAAACGGGAAGUACGCUGUGCCACUCAUUCACUUUGUAAUUCUGUCUGCUCGAAGCAUACAUACCACCCACAUGCUCGUCUGAGUGAGAUUUACAAAUCAAUCUUUGCUUUGUAAUAAAAUGCCUUUUUUUUUUU
Molecule: RNA transcript, 3691 nt
Organism: Dermacentor albipictus
Lineage: Eukaryota; Metazoa; Arthropoda; Arachnida; Ixodida; Ixodidae
Gene: TRAM
Gene name: translocating chain-associated membrane protein 1
Source: RefSeq, a predicted model, not a curated record